This 465-nucleotide ribosomal RNA is filed under the name Vreelandella stevensii. RNAcentral's name for it is "partial 16S ribosomal RNA". It matches the Rfam family "Bacterial small subunit ribosomal RNA", at positions 338 to 795 of the family's 1533-position model. The record is from RNAcentral. Lineage: Bacteria; Pseudomonadati; Pseudomonadota; Gammaproteobacteria; Oceanospirillales; Halomonadaceae.
CCUACGGGAGGCUGCAGCGGGGAAUAUUGGACAAUGGGCGAAAGCCUGAUCCAGCCAUGCCGCGUGUGUGAAGAAGGCCUUCGGGUUGUAAAGCACUUUCAGUGGGGAAGAAAGCCUUGGGGCUAAUACCCUCGAGGAAGGACAUCACCCACAGAAGAAGCACCGGCUAACUCCGUGCCAGCAGCCGCGGUAAUACGGAGGGUGCGAGCGUUAAUCGGAAUUACUGGGCGUAAAGCGCGCGUAGGCGGUCUGAUAAGCCGGUUGUGAAAGCCCCGGGCUCAACCUGGGAACGGCAUCCGGAACUGUCAGGCUAGAGUGCAGGAGAGGAAGGUAGAAUUCCCGGUGUAGCGGUGAAAUGCGUAGAGAUCGGGAGGAAUACCAGUGGCGAAGGCGGCCUUCUGGACUGACACUGACGCUGAGGUGCGAAAGCGUGGGUAGCAAACAGGAUUAGAUACCCUAGUAGUC